Molecule: ribosomal RNA, 482 nt
Filed under: uncultured bacterium
Lineage: Bacteria
Description: partial 16S ribosomal RNA
Rfam family: Bacterial small subunit ribosomal RNA
Source: RNAcentral
GACGAACGCUGGAGGCGUGCUUAACACAUGCAAGUCGAACGAUGAAAUGGAGCUUGCUCCAUGGAAUAGUGGCGCACGGGUGAGUAACACGUGAAUAACCUGCCCUUAAUUUUGGAAUAACCCAGGGAAACCUGGGCUACUACCGGAUACGUGAACCUGUGGCAACACAGGGUUUUGGAAAGUCUCUCGAUUAAGGAUGGAUUCGAGGCCUAUCAGCUUGUUGGUGAGGUAAUGGCUCACCAAGGAGACGACGGGUAGCCGGCCUGAGAGGGUGAACGGCCGCACGGGGACUGAGACACGGACCAGACUCCUACAGGAGGCAGCAGGGGGGAAUAUUGCGCAAUGGACGAAAGUCUGACGCAGCGACGCCUGGGUAGGGACGAAGGUCUUCGGAUUGUAAACCUCUUUCAGCAGGGACGUAGCUAAAGUGACGGUACCCACAGAAGAAGCACCGGCUAACUAUGUGCCAGCCGCCGCAGUAA